This 254-nucleotide ribosomal RNA is filed under the name uncultured bacterium. Its description in RNAcentral is "partial 16S ribosomal RNA". It matches the Rfam family "Bacterial small subunit ribosomal RNA", at positions 524 to 776 of the family's 1533-position model. The record is from RNAcentral.
UACGUAGGGCGCAAGCGUUAUCCGGAAUUAUUGGGCGUAAAGAGCUCGUAGGCGGCUUGUCGCGUCGACUGUGAAAACCCGUGGCUCAACCAUGUGGUCUGCAGUCGAUACGGGCAGGCUAGAAUUCGGUAGGGGAGACUGGAAUUCCUGGUGUAGCGGUGAAAUGCGUAGAUAUCUGGAGGAACACCGGUGGCGAAGGCGGCAUCCUGGACCGGUAUUGACGCUGAGGCGCGAAAGCCAGGGGAGCAAACGGG